CAACGGACCCUACCUCUUGUAGUGAUUCUCGGGGCCACGGGCACCGGCAAAUCCACGCUGGCGUUGCAGCUAGGCCAGCGGCUCGGCGGUGAGAUCGUCAGCGCUGACUCCAUGCACGCACAUAAAAUCCAAAUCCCACUUGAACCAACUGAAGAAAAGAAGAAGAUUGGACUCAGAUGCUGUCAACACCAUAGAAAGUCAGAGUGUUUCCCCAGACCAUAACAAAGAACCUAAAGAGAAGGGAUCCCCAGGGCAGAAUGAUCAAGAGCUGAAAUGCAGCGUUUAAGAGACAUGUCCAGUGGCCUUUGGAAAGGU
RNAcentral lists this long non-coding RNA (315 nucleotides) under Homo sapiens (human). RNAcentral's name for it is "non-protein coding lnc-MYCL-3:1". Lineage: Eukaryota; Metazoa; Chordata; Mammalia; Primates; Hominidae. The record is from RNAcentral.